UACGGAGGGGGCUAGCGUUGUUCGGAAUUACUGGGCGUAAAGGGUGCGUAGGCGGGUCUUUAAGUCAGGGGUGAAAUCCUGGAGCUCAACUCCAGAACUGCCUUUGAUACUGAGGAUCUUGAGUUCGGGAGAGGUGAGUGGAAUUCCGAGUGUAGAGGUGAAAUUCGUAGAUAUUCGGAAGAACACCAGUGGCGAAGGCGGCUCACUGGACUGGUAUUGACGCUGAGGUGCGAAAGCGUGGGGAGCAAACAGG
This 253-nucleotide ribosomal RNA is filed under the name uncultured bacterium. RNAcentral's name for it is "partial 16S ribosomal RNA". It matches the Rfam family "Bacterial small subunit ribosomal RNA", at positions 524 to 776 of the family's 1533-position model. The record is from RNAcentral.